This 300-nucleotide long non-coding RNA is filed under the name Bos taurus (domestic cattle). RNAcentral describes it as "long non-coding RNA NONBTAT015019". Lineage: Eukaryota; Metazoa; Chordata; Mammalia; Artiodactyla; Bovidae. The record is from RNAcentral.
UCUGUCUCCUUAGCUCUUAAUCUUUGUGGCUCUCUGGUUCCUUGGGCCCCCAGGCAGGGAAUCCACAUAUAACCCCAGCACUCCCUUUUACCCGAAAUGAUCCAUUUGGUCAAGACCUAUCUGGGGCAUGUCCUUGGUGGCUGCAAGUCAAAGCCAUGGUGUUUUUAGUUUUGUUUUUUUUUAAUUUUUCCAAAUAAUGAAUAUGAUUUCUGUCAAGAGAGGCAUGGUUCUGUCUGGUGGUGUAUUAUUACAAAUCUGCUAUGGAUGUAAAGAAAAAUAAACUACUUAUUUUCUUGAUAA